This 408-nucleotide ribosomal RNA is filed under the name uncultured bacterium. RNAcentral describes it as "bacterial SSU rRNA". It matches the Rfam family "Bacterial small subunit ribosomal RNA", at positions 29 to 416 of the family's 1533-position model. The record is from RNAcentral.
AGCGAACGCUGGCGGCGUGCUUAACACAUGCAAGUCGAGCGAAGGUGUUUCAAGGGUAACCUUGAGAUACACUUAGCGGCGGACGGGUGAGUAAUACGUGGAUAACUUACCUCUAGGCCUGGGAUAACCCCGGGAAACUGGGGCUAAUACCUGGUAAGACCACAUUGUCUACGGACAAAGGGGUAAAAGGUGGCUGUGCAAACAGCUAUCGCCAAAAGAUAGGUUCACGUCCCAUCAGGCAGUGGUGAGGUAAUGGCUCACCAAACAAGACGGUAGCCGGCCUUGGCGGGUGAACGGCCACACGGGGACGUGAGACACCGGCCCCGACUCCUACGGGAGGCAGCAGUGGGGAAUAUUGGGCAAUGGGCGCAAGCCUGACCCAGCGACGUCGCGUUGGGGAAGAAGGCC